CGUGAGGCGAAGGCCAGCCAUUUUGAAAUUCAACAUGGAAAAGAAUCGCUACCCAAAAUGUGGAUAUUUCUUCUUCUUUUUUCCAGCAGUUUGACGGACAGGAUUACCUGGAUUCAAAACUGAGAGCAGUGCUGUGGCAUGUAUUGAGAACAAGGGUCCCAGAGCAGGACUGGAAACCUGAGCUAGCUGAGCAAUGUUUCACUAAAAGGUGUAUGCUACAUGUAGCUAUGAAGAGAGAUGUGCUCGUACACCUUACAAAAAAGUGAAGCUCUUCAUGCAGAGCAACACCUCAGGCUCCAGCAGGCCUAGGCUGCUCCCUUGUAGGCACAUUGGCAUGAUACAUGUACAAGAUAUGUCACAGGUAGACUGAUCACAAGAAACAAGAGUCCCUUCUUGCAAAAGUCUACAGCCUUUUGCUAUUGGAUGAUUUGUAAUCAGCCAUGUCUAACUUGAGACUUGGUGAUGAUGCUGACUUCUUAAAUGGCCAUCCAACAGAUUUCAGGACUCUGUGCUGUCAUCAUUUGAGGAACUUCUAUCCUCCAAGAUGGGGAACACUUGAUGUCUACCGUACCUCCAUUAAAGCCGGUUCAUACUUCAUGCGAAAUGCACAAUGAACUCAAAUUUGCGAGGGCAGAUCAAAUAUUUGUUUUACGAAUUUGCAAAAGUUGAACAUACAUGUAUUUCAACUUGAGAAAAAAAUCACUACCGUUUUUUGUGAUGUCAAAUUUGCCCCCAGUUGAAAAAGUCUGGGGGGGGAGCUUCUGCCAUCAGCAGAUUACAUUUUUACCCGUGAAAAAUGCACUUUGAGGAGAACUUAAUUCAUGCAGUUGGACAUUUCUUUGUAUAGUUUUGCCAAACUUUCAUGACCAGUCAUGUUUCCAUUGCUAUGGAUUACCUUGGAGUUAAUUAAGUGACCAGCUCCAUUGAAAUCAGGAAUAACUCGAGUAAUCACUGCUUCUUGAAGGACAGUGUUUAAAAACCUUCGAAGCAUGAAUUGUCACACAAAGGAGUCUUGGCUUAUUUGAUUUGUUAUCUUGUGAAAGAUUUGUCAGAAACUGUUUCUAAAUGUAUGACUACAUAGCAGAUUACUCAAACUUAUUGGCCUUCUUUCUCUCUUGUGAUUACGCUACAGCAACCAAGAGAGCCGAGUGUUUUAUUUUUCGAAAUUUUAAUUUGAAUGGAGCAGGUUACAUUUAUCCUAAAGUCUUGAGCUUGUAUGAAGCUUCAACUGUGUUACAUUUCACUAGGCACUGAAACAUUAGUACAAAGAUGUAUGUGCGGUAUGUAGUUAUUAAAAAAUUUAAUUUCUUCUUCAAAAAGCAGGCACAUGUCAGUAGGUUUUUUAGUUUGAAGUAAAGUAACAUCAAUUAGGAUGAAUGAUGAAGGCAACUUAUCAACAAAGAAUGUUCUGGCAAAGUUUUUUUUUUCAGUACAAGAUUAAUUUGAGGAACAUUGCUUUGUUGUCAACUGGAGAUAUUUUUCAGUGAUAUAGAAAGGUUUUUUGGAAAAGACGCAGCAUUUAAAACCUAUGUAGUGAUUUGAAAACAUCGGUUUCAAAUGUGAUUCCCGUUUGCCCUCAUUUGCAAUAAGUUUUUAAUGUGAACUUGGAGAUGUUUUUCAGACAUGUGCCUGGUUUUUGGUUGUUUAAAUUUCUAACUUUUUUAAUGGGAGACUUUGAGACGCACAGUGGCAGAAGACACAAGGGUCCUUUUUGGUUGAUGUGGGCAUGCGCGUGCAGUUCUAGGCAUGCGUGUUAGUGAGCAUGCACACAACUAUAGAAAAGGACCGGUUUGUCUGCCGCCACCAUGCGUCUCAAAGUCUCCCAUCGAAAAGGUGACUUUCAAUUUGUAAUGUAUGUAGAGAGCUACAUGUAUAUGUAGUCUACAAUGGCACAUUAUCAUACACAUGGUGAUUCAGUGUAGAGUCAUAAAUGCGCAGAUGUGUUGGGCAAUGUAAACUGGGCCAUGGGUGAUACUUUCUGUACUGAUUUCUGUAAUGACAUUCAUUACUACCCAGCUUUUUAUAUAGUAUUUUUUUUGGGGGGGAAUGCACUUUUGAAUUGUUUUCUGAGGUCUUAAUAUGUUCAUGUGGUAGCUGGUUGAUUGCCUGCCUCCAAAAGAUGAAAAUGUUGACAAUCCAGCCCCCCGCCUGAAAAAGGGAAUUUAAUUUAAAAGAGUGGUUGCAAGUUAAUUACACCAAAAAAGAGAAAGCUAAAGUUGUGUUGGCCAGUGCUGAAUAUACAUGUAUAAAUCCCAACUUCAUAAGAGCUGUUUUUCAUCGUGGACAACAUAUUUUUUUCACAAUCUGUCCUGAAAGUCCCUUUUUUUUUCAAAUUACACUUGUGUAAUUGCUGUUUAAGGCAUGAUGAUGGGUUUUCAUGAAAAAUAUGUUUGACGCAGCUUUUUUAAUUUUCGAUUUAAAAAUACAAACUAAAAGAAAAAAGUCACUCUAAAGGAUGGUUAAGAAACAAGUCACCAGUGGUAGACAAUACGGAAACUUUUGAUCCUAAUUGCUGAAAAUGUAUUGUAUGUGUUACGCAUGAUGUGCCACUGUAGACUUUUUUAUUGUUUGCAAUAAAUUUGUAGGUCUGGUUUGUGUGUCUUUUUUCUUGGGGGGGGGUCUGCUGUCCAUUUCGCAAGUUUCCAAGCAUGCAGUUAGAACCUUACAGUUACAAUGUAACUCUCCAAUUCCGCAUCAAGUUGGCAGUGUUUGAAAACAGUUGUAUCUAUGCUGUUCAUCGUUUUGUAUGCUUACUGGACACAGACUUGUUCCAUUUUGACAGCAUAUAGGUUCAUUACAGAAGUUGUACAUGUAUGUAAGAGUUCAAGUAGGAGUGCUGCAAUAGGAUUUUGGUGAAGUAUCUGUUAUACAAACAAUAUGUCAUAGCAGAAAACUGUGAAAUGGACAGCAGGUCUUGCAUCUCAAUUCGUAUCUUGAAUUUCAGGUGUUUCCAGUCUACAUGUAUGCACCAAUGAAUGCACUGCAUCAAUUCAUACAUUUAAGAUUUUUUCCCCUCACAAGUUUGUUGUUUACACUCAUCCCUUUAAGUUCUUCAAGUUGCUUGAAAAGUCAUUUGUCUGGAGGGCGCUACAUAAAAGCUUACAAUGUGAUGUAGUGUGUUCAUAAAAAGACCAUUGACUAAUUGCAAUCAAUCGUACUACAGUGGGUAGUACUCGAUUAAACAUGUAGGCAUAACAGUGAGAAAUAUUGACACCAAAACGAGAAUACAUGUAGAUGAGUAGAAUGGGUUGGACCAAUUUAAUUGUAUUUAAAGUUUUAGCAAAGUAAAAUACUGGAUAAUACAGUCAGAUUGUUGAGUUUCAAUAAAUAUGCUUUCCAGUAGAUACUGUUUAUAUGGCGUUUUCUGUUAAUUCAGAUUCAUGAACUCUGACCUGACCCUUGAACUCUGACCUGACCUUUCAACUUUGACCUGACCUUUCAACUUUGACCUGACCUUUCAACUUUGACCUGACCUUUCAACUUUGACCUCUGGGGUGGCCAAAAAAAAAGCCCAAUGCAUGCAGGCCCCCCUGCUGCACACCCAAGUGGUGUGUCCCCGCCCUACAGACACCUUCAGACCAGGGAGUACCCCUAACUAUCUGCACCAACUAGUGAUCGCUUUUUCGUCAUGUGCACACAUUUCCCCACUCUUGAAAUCCAAGCAUUCAUGAAUGACUUCAGUUAACUCCAACAGGACAAGGAUCACUUGAACUCUUACCAUCGGCAAUGCUUUUCUAUCAAAGUAGGGCAUCUUGGUUGUUUAUACUCUGUGUUGCUAUGGAUACCAGUGAUCUCUCCAUUACUCCCAAGAAUUGCUCAUCAAAGAGAACCCUCCCACACGGGCUACUCGUCAUGAUCUUUGCAACCGACAUUUCCAGAGCCACAAGUUACAUUCUGUGUCUGAAUCAACCAGAUGAAGCAUUUAACACACUCUAACAUUUUGCAAGCUUUCUACGACAUUUGACAAUGUUACAAACUUUUAGGGCAACUAUCGUAGCCCUUGUCCAUAUAAAUAACUUCCAUGACAACUCCAAUACAACCUACAAAUACUGCAUAAACCACGUUCCUUUUUCAAAAAGCAGUCUGUAUAAACACGGUAAAUGUACUAUUUUUCAUGUGUGGACAACAAUUAGCUUACAGAGAGCUGAUCCCUCAUACAGAGGAUUUCCAUCUUUAAAAUGUACAAACUACAUAUCUGAAUGAGUCCUUUGUAGGACUUGGGGCCAAAACAAGAGGUCACUUUACUGUGACAAUGAGCUAAUGAGACCAAAUUUGUCCUAUGAAAGCUGCAAAUGCAAUAUGGGGGAAACCAGUAACUCAAAAAAAGAGAUGUAUCACACAGCAGCAAGCAACCAGCAAUUGAAGCAAGGGGAAAGAACUUGCUUUCAACUAUUCCUGACUGAGAAGCAGUUUCAUUCUUUUCAUUCUAUCUUUUGGAUAAUAAUAGAUAAGUAAAAAAGUACAUCAAGUGAAAAAGCAAUAUGUUGUGCCAUCAUCGGUCAGUUUACAAAUAUUUGAACUUUGCAAAGUGCAACCACCAAUAUAAAGAUGAAUAGUUGUAUUUACAAUGCUGUUUUGUUUUCUAAAUGUUGCAUUUGAUUCCAAGUUCUCAUUUUUUUGUUGUUUGAACCAAAAAAUAUUUCAGACCAACAAGGCCAAAUUCAAUAAAUUGUUUCUUUUUUUUUUGUUGAAUUCCCCUCAAUUGGGAUUUGGAAUAAAUACUUAUUUGUUUUUGUUUUUUCGGUUUAAUUGCAUUACUUUUUCCAGAUCUGUUUUUGUUGGUUUUCCUUAUUUUACUACAGAGAAUUGUCACAUUGCAAUUGCACUUGCAAAUCAUACUGCCUCCCUGCCAGAUGAACAAUGUACAGUGGCAUAGAAAUCAAGUUGAUCUCUCAUUUUGAGACAGGGACCCUGUUGGAAGAAAAAGGUGGCUGAAUUUUCAACUCGUUAUUUUAUGAAAAUGUCCAUUCGUUUUUGCUUUCUUUUUCUUUCCAACACGGCCAACAUAUUGGUUUCAGCAAU
Molecule: long non-coding RNA, 5022 nt
Filed under: Acanthaster planci (crown-of-thorns starfish)
Lineage: Eukaryota; Metazoa; Echinodermata; Asteroidea; Valvatida; Acanthasteridae
Description: uncharacterized LOC110983799
Source: RNAcentral